This 910-nucleotide ribosomal RNA is filed under the name uncultured marine bacterium. RNAcentral's name for it is "bacterial SSU rRNA". It matches the Rfam family "Bacterial small subunit ribosomal RNA", at positions 63 to 978 of the family's 1533-position model. The record is from RNAcentral.
CGAGCGAAGCUUUUCAGUAGUUUACUACAGAAAAUGACUGAGCGGCGAACGGGUGAGUAACGCGUGAGCAAUCUACCUUAGUUACAGGGAUAGCCCGAGGAAACUCGGAUUAAUACCUGAUAUUCUUUAAAUUUCGCAUGAAAUUAAAAGGAAAGGUCAGCCGAACUAAGAUGAGCUCGCGUUCUAUCAGCUAGUUGGUGAGGUAAAAGCUCACCAAGGCAACGACGGAUAGCUGGUCUGAGAGGACGAUCAGCCACACUGGGACUGAGACACGGCCCAGACUCCUACGGGAGGCUGCAGCAGGGAAUAUUGCGCAAUGAGCGAAAGCUUGACGCAGCGACACCGCGUGUGGGAUGACGGAUCUAGGUUUGUAAACCACUUUCAGGAGGGAAGAAAAUGACGGUACCUCCACAAGAAGCCCCGGCCAACUACGUGCCAGCAGCCGCGGUAAUACGUAGGGGGCGAGCGUUGUCCGGAUUUAUUGGGCGUAAAGAGCUCGUAGGCGGUUCAACAAGUCGGUCGUAAAAGUUCAGGGCUCAACCCUGAAAUGUCGAUCGAUACUGUUGUGACUAGGAUACGGUAGAGGUGAGUGGAAUUCCGAGUGUAGCGGUGAAAUGCGUAGAUAUUCGGAGGAACACCAAUUGCGAAGGCAGCUCACUGGGCCGCUAUCGACGCUGAGGAGCGAAAGCUAGGGGAGCAAACGGGAUUAGAUACCCUGGUAGUCCUAGCUGUAAACGAUGGAUACUAGACGUAGGAACUGGAUUGACGGUUUCUGUGUCGUAGCUAACGCGUUAAGUAUCCCGCCUGGGGAGUACGGUCGCAAGACUAAAACUCAAAGGAAUUGACGGGACCCCGCACAAGCGGCGGAGCAUGCGGCUUAAUUCGAUGAUAGCCGUAGAACCUUACCUGG